AAAAAAUUUAUGAUUGAUAUAAUCAUUCUUUGAUAAUUACAAAACGUCCAGAAGCUACAGGUUUAUGAUUUUUUACUUGUCAUGUCCUGGUUAAAUAACAAAGGCCUCUGAUAGGGAAAACGACUGAAUACCAUUUAAUUUUCUUGCUUAUCUUCACACCUUUAAUAGUAAAACUUGAAGAGCACUGUCCUUUUUUCACACAAACUCACUGUUACCACAAACCAAGGUCUGCUAUAACUGUGAUCUACACCUGUUACAUAAACGUGAUAGAUGAUAUUACUCAAUAAUAUCACAUAUUACUCUUGUGUCCCUCUGUCAUUACAGAAUGCAAUAUUUUCAAUUUGAGAUAGUGGUGGAUUGAUAUUACCUGCUAGCGUUACAUGUGUGUUUCUUUUUCCUUUUCUGUAGUCAUCAGUGACUUUUCAGAAAGCACCCGAGUUGUAUAACUCUUUCUCUGAGUAUUGACAUUUGUUGGUUAGGCACUUCAAAAGCUUUCCCAACUAACAAUCACCUCAUGUUGAUGCCUCUUCAAGUGCUUCACAAUAAUGGACUUCUCUGUUGUUUAGUCAUGUCAUCAAAGUGGCACACACCUUGUGCUUGAACUUGGAAAGUUUAGUAGCUAAACUAAAGUCAUGUAUAGUAUAGUUGCCAAGUAAACAACAAUAUGUACCUGUAGCAUAAUUAUGCAUAUUGAUAUCAAGCGUACCUGUAGCAUAAGUGUGCAUAUUGAUAUCUAGCGUUCAACAUCUCGUGAUCUAUUAUGUUACUGUGCAAUCUGAAUAUUGACUCUUGUCUCUUACUGUUUCUUUACCCUGUCCUGGCUUAAUGCUGCAGUUGCUUGAUUGGCCACAGUAUCUUCUUGUUCCCAAGUUAAAAAAUAGUCAUGGAACUACAUGAGCCUCGGUAGCUACCGUUACCUAUGGAUUGAUCAGCUUUGGCUAUUAUAACUCUCUUAAGAGUGAUGCAAUUAAUCACCAAAAGAAAGGAUACAAAGCAUAGAGAUGAUGAAAUAUAGGAAUCAGAGGGAAACAAUCAUCUCAAUUAUCCAACCACAUGGUCUUUGCUUUUAACCUUUAACUUUCCUAGUUAGUGCUCUGAGAUGUGUACUGUUCGAACUAUCAUACUCAGUUUUGCAAUUUUCUUUCCUUCUAGGGGUAUGGGCGACUGUUCUUUAGAUUCUACCAAGUUCUUUGCACAUCUUCAAAAAACAACUGAACACAAAAAGUGGUCCUAUAAGAUUUAUACAAUGUCUUUACUUGUGCCUCUUUUCACCACCUUGUCCACUCAUCACAUGCUUCCUUCUCAAUUGCAGUAACUGGU
This 1320-nucleotide long non-coding RNA is filed under the name Brassica rapa (field mustard). RNAcentral describes it as "long non-coding RNA (BRAP_LNC007288)". The record is from RNAcentral. Lineage: Eukaryota; Viridiplantae; Streptophyta; Magnoliopsida; Brassicales; Brassicaceae.